UGGGGAAUAUUGGACAAUGGGGGAAACCCUGAUCCAGCAAUGCCGCGUGUGUGAAGAAGGCCUGAGGGUUGUAAAGCACUUUCAGUGGGGAGGAGUUAUCGAAGGUUAAGAGCUAUUGAUAAGGACGUUACCCACAGAAGAAGCACCGGCUAACUCCGUGCCAGCAGCCGCGGUAAUACGGAGGGUGCGAGCGUUAAUCGGAAUUACUGGGCGUAAAGGGUGCGUAGGUGGUUUGAUAAGUUACCUGUGAAAUUCCUGGGCUUAACCUGGGGUGGUCAGGUAAAACUAUUGAACUAGAGUAUAGGAGAGGGUAGUGGAAUUUCCGGUGUAGCGGUGAAAUGCGUAGAUAUCGGAAGGAACACCAGUGGCGAAGGCGGCUACCUGGUCUAAUACUGACACUGAGGCACGAAAGCGUGGGGAGCAAACAGGAUUAGAUACCCCCGUAGUCC
This 449-nucleotide ribosomal RNA is filed under the name uncultured bacterium. Its description in RNAcentral is "bacterial SSU rRNA". It matches the Rfam family "Bacterial small subunit ribosomal RNA", at positions 355 to 796 of the family's 1533-position model. The record is from RNAcentral.